Molecule: ribosomal RNA, 497 nt
Filed under: uncultured bacterium
Lineage: Bacteria
Description: partial 16S ribosomal RNA
Rfam family: Bacterial small subunit ribosomal RNA
Source: RNAcentral
GACGAACGCUGGCGGCGUGCCUAAUACAUGCAAGUUGAGCGAUGAAGAUUGGUGCUUGCACCAAUUUGAAGAGCAGCGAACGGGUGAGUAACGCGUGGGGAAUCUGCCUUUGAGCGGGGGACAACAUUUGGAAACGAAUGCUAAUACCGCAUAACAACUUUAAACAUAAGUUUUAAGUUUGAAAGAUGCAAUUGCAUCACUCAAAGAUGAUCCCGCGUUGUAUUAGCUAGUUGGUGAGGUAAAGGCUCACCAAGGCGAUGAUACAUAGCCGACCUGAGAGGGUGAUCUGCCACAUUGGGACUGAGACACGGCCCAAACUCCUACGGGAGGCAGCAGUAGGGAAUCUUCGGCAAUGGACGAAAGUCUGACCGAGCAACGCCGCGUGAGUGAAGAAGGUUUUCGGAUCGUAAAACCCUGUUGGUAGAGAAGAACGUUGGUGAGAGUGGAAAGCUCAUCAAGUGACGGUAACUACCCAGAAAGGGACGGCUAACUACGUG